GAUGAACGCUAGCGGCAGGCCUAACACAUGCAAGUCGAGGGGCAGCAUUACUACUUGUAGUAGAUGGCGACCGGCGCACGGGUGCGUAACGCGUAUGCAACCUACCUAUCACAUUGGGAUAGCCUCUAGAAAUGGAGAUUAAUACCGAAUGGUAUCUAAAUAUUGCAUGAUAUUAAGAUUAAAGAUUUAUCGGUGAUAGAUGGGCAUGCGUGACAUUAGCUAGUUGGUAAGGUAACGGCUUACCAAGGCGACGAUGUCUAGGGGAUCUGAGAGGACUACCCCCCACACUGGUACUGAGACACGGACCAGACUCCUACGGGAGGCAGCAGUGAGGAAUAUUGGUCAAUGGAGGCAACUCUGAACCAGCCAUGCCGCGUGCAGGAUGACUGCCCUAUGGGUUGUAAACUGCUUUUAUACAGGGAGAAAAUUACCUACGAGUAGGUAACUGACGGUACUGUAAGAAUAAGGACCGGCUAACUCCGUGCCAGCCGCCGCCGUAACAC
This 503-nucleotide ribosomal RNA is filed under the name uncultured bacterium. RNAcentral's name for it is "bacterial SSU rRNA". It matches the Rfam family "Bacterial small subunit ribosomal RNA", at positions 28 to 526 of the family's 1533-position model. The record is from RNAcentral.